AACGAACGCUGGCGGCGCGCCUAAUACAUGCAAGUCGAGCGAGAAGACCGUAGGCAAUACGUUUGUAAAGCGGCGAACGGGUGAGGAAUACAUGGGUAACCUACCCUCGAGUGGGAAUAACUAGCCGAAAGGUUAGCUAAUACCGCGUACGCUCCUUGGACUUCGGUUCAGGGAGGAAAGCGAUACCGUGGGUAUCGGCGCUCUUGGACUGGGCUCAUGUCCUAUCAGCUUGUUGGNG
This 238-nucleotide ribosomal RNA is filed under the name uncultured bacterium. RNAcentral describes it as "partial 16S ribosomal RNA". It matches the Rfam family "Bacterial small subunit ribosomal RNA", at positions 29 to 254 of the family's 1533-position model. The record is from RNAcentral.